AAUGUCGUUCUCUAAAGAAAAUAACAAUAGGCUAGGUUCGCCGACAUUUCCAAGCCAAAUCUAAUAUGCGAAUUCCAUUGAUAGCUUUGCUGUUGUUGUCUGCUAGCAUCAAAGCUAGUACCGAAAGAAUUCGGUGAAACAAGGGAAAAGGCCGUUAUUGCAACAAAAUGUUUCGGUGCAACAAAUUCUACCAAAAACUCCUUUUACCAUAAAAGACGGCUAGCUGCUUUAAAGAGGAGAAGACUUAAAAAAGUGACAUCAAGGAUAUUUUGUUAUGCGGGUUUAUUGAUUAUUACCAGGAUCCAAGCAUAAACCAAAGCCAAACAUAGGACUUGCUUAACCACUCAACAAUAUUACUGUGAAAGGAUGCCAAAUUAUGAAAGCGAGGAUCAUCCAAACCAUCCACCUUUCUGAUUUGAGGUCUUCAAUGGAUGAAUGUAAUUUAAACGAGUUUUCAUAUUGAGUCUGAAAAAGAAAGGUAUG
Molecule: long non-coding RNA, 483 nt
Organism: Daphnia carinata
Lineage: Eukaryota; Metazoa; Arthropoda; Branchiopoda; Diplostraca; Daphniidae
Exons: 3
Source: RefSeq, a predicted model, not a curated record